UAUGAAAAUGCAUUUUGUCUUUCUGCAGACUUCUUGUGGACUUCUUGUUUCCUGUCUUGACAGUGUGUUGACUUCGACUUCUUGUUGAUCAAGUCAACAGGAAUUGCCGUUGACAUCAUGUUGACAGUCUUUUGAAAUACCUUAUGUGUACCUUGUGUGGACAAUGUACAUAGGUGUCGUUGUUGACGCUUUGUGGACUUUCUGUGCACCUGUGUAAUGAGUAUUUAUUUCGACCGUUUUAUUUUAUAGAAGUAUUUUGUAUUAUUAAUUACUGCAUUAUCAGCCAGUAAUGUCCCAGAGGUCGACCUCUGGGGGUACCGAGCAUUUCCUAACGGGGUGGGGGGUGGUGGUAUAUAUGUAUAGAGGCAUAUUUGUGAAUCUAUUCAUUGGGAGACAGGCUGUAUGGGUAAUAUUAGCAAUUUCAGGGUGAGUUAAAAAAAAAAAAAAACCUCCCGGGAGGUAGACAGAUCAGUGUUACCGUCUUUCCACUAAACAAAGCGGUAUUUGAAUCUGAACUUAUGAUCAAAUGUAGCUUAAAUGACACUUUGCCACAUUUUAGCUGCACACUAAAGCUCUAAAUACAUUUUCGUUGGCUUUGGGAAGGCGCUUCCUCGUAUUAUUUAUAUUUCAGUUUAUUAUGCAAUAUAUUUCCAACUUAUACGACCACAUGAGGAUCAUGCGCAUGCGACAAGUUUGCUCCACAUUUUGACUCUGCGCCGCCGUGCUUCACCCUCGCCCCUCGCCUUGUCAUGAAGGAGUCAUCGCCAUUAGCAUCAUCGUAAUGUCGUUGGAACCGUUGCAAGACGUUUGAACGGUCUCCGCGCUCGCUCGUCCAUUUGUGAACAAAGGAGGCCGUGAUUUUGCGUCGUAUGGGCGGCUGCAGUGUUGCGUCCCGUCAGGCCAUGAAAGAAGGAAGGAGGAUAUGAUUUUGCGUCGUAAUGGGUUUUUGUUGUUUGUUCGGAGCAGCGGCUGCAGUGUUGCGUCCCGUCAGGCUCUACUUUGUUGAACACUAAGCUGGACACAUAUCUCUCCAGCGCUUCAGAGACGUCGCUGGCGCCGAAAUUCUAGCUGUUUCACCGUGGGUCGCCAGAAGAACAGCAGAUCAUUGACUGUCAAUUGUGCGACGCGACACUAUGUGGCACGAAGGAUGUGUACGUGUGAAAUACGUAACUACUGUGUGCGCGGGAUGUUUUGUAUGAUUGUGUCGACACUGGAUACCACUUUCAAGGUAUGCAUUUUCGGAAUAAAGUAGAUACAUAUAUAAUUUUGCAGUACUUCAUUUCGUGUAUUUUAUGCGUGUUGCGAGUAAGUGAACAUAUGCACUCUUAAAAAUGAACUUCACCGCAUAGCGUGCUCCUAGCCGACCAUCAACUCGAAUGAUAUCGCUAUGUGACCUGAUUUGUUCAAAACGGUAGGCGCACGGCUUUUUUGUGAUACUUACGCUGUUCAUAAUUGUCACAAAAAUGGCGUACACCUCCCGUUUUCAGGCAGAUAACGAUAUUCGAAAUGAUGAUUGGCCAGGAGUGUGCUAUGCGGUGAAGUUCAUUUCUAAGAGAGUGGAGUCACAGGAAGUCUACAGAAAGUCUUCACAUCAUACGCGGGAUGGUGUUACCAGAAUUAUGUUGACAGUACACAGAAAGAGAACAAAAAAUUCCACAGCUAUUCUGUUGCCAAAUGUCUACAGAAAGUUGAGGGCCAUAAGUC
Ornithodoros turicata is the source of this 1704-nucleotide long non-coding RNA. RefSeq lists it as uncharacterized. NCBI's taxonomy places the organism in Eukaryota, Metazoa, Arthropoda, Arachnida, Ixodida, Argasidae. The record is from RefSeq and is a predicted model, not a curated record. The transcript is spliced from 6 exons.